AUGAAAAGUGUGAGUUCCAACAGAAAAUCAAGUCCUCUAUUCUUUUGUUUUCAUAUUGAUUUUUGGAGCUUUACCAACAAUUGUCGUCAAAAAGGGGAGCAGCCCUUGUAGGUUGUGGGGCUGAGAAGGAAGCCUUAAAUUGGAAUGAAAGAAAGUUUGGAAGCAGGAGGUGGAAUCGCAAUCAGAAAAUUCAUUAGCAGGUUUAUUUUUUUAUUGAUUAGUGGCAGAAAAUUUUUGUAAUUGUGGGUGUUCGCCGAUUUGAGUAUUAAAGAAAGUGAAGUGAAAGAAGGUAGUGGGUACAUGCAUGAGAAUUAAAUCUCACAGCCCAUCAAUUUAAAAAGAAAGAAGAACGGCAAGAUAGAAAGCUGGUUUAUUAGAUCAGCAAGAAAGAGAAAUAAAGAAGGUCGUAGCUGCGCCGCGAGAAAGAGAAAGAAGACGGUGGCGGUUGCCAAACAGACCGAAACAAAGUAAGACCAAGGAAGACCGUCGCCUCGCCUGAAGAAAGCAUCGACGAUUGCAAGAUCGUCGCCGGCAAGAAGAGAACUGAAGCCGUGAUAGACCGAACGGCGUGACCGAGACUGAAUCGGUUCUCCUUGCCAAGACGGUAGACCGAAUAAAGCUUAUCUUGAAGAAAGCUUAGACCGAAAGACCAAGCAAUAGACCGAAACUGUGAACCAGAGACCGAGACCGAAAGCGUUCACAUCAGACCGAGAUAGAAGGAGACAACCGUGACCGGCAGUUUUGAAAGAAAGGAAAAAAGAAAGAAAAGACCGAAUCGACUAGAAAGAAAGAAAGAGUCG
Molecule: long non-coding RNA, 800 nt
Filed under: Helianthus annuus (common sunflower)
Lineage: Eukaryota; Viridiplantae; Streptophyta; Magnoliopsida; Asterales; Asteraceae
Description: hypothetical non coding rna
Source: RNAcentral